GACGAACGCUGGCGGCGUGCUUAACACAUGCAAGUCGAACGGUGAAGCAGAACUUGCUCUGUGGAUCAGUGGCGAACGGGUGAGUAACACGUGAGCAACCUGCCCCGGACUCUGGGAUAAGCGCUGGAAACGGCGUCUAAUACUGGAUACGAGCUUCAGCCGCAUGGCUAGGAGCUGGAAAGAUUUUUUGGUCUGGGAUGGGCUCGCGGCCUAUCAGCUUGUUGGUGAGGUAAUGGCUCACCAAGGCGUCGACGGGUAGCCGGCCUGAGAGGGUGACCGGCCACACUGGGACUGAGACACGGCCCAGACUCCUACGGGAGGCAGCAGUGGGGAAUAUUGCACAAUGGGCGGAAGCCUGAUGCAGCAACGCCGCGUGAGGGAUGACGGCCUUCGGGUUGUAAACCUCUUUUAGCAAGGAAGAAGCGAAAGUGACGGUACUUGCAGAAAAAGCGCCGGCUAACUACGUGCCAGCCGCCGCCGUAA
This 483-nucleotide ribosomal RNA is filed under the name uncultured bacterium. Its description in RNAcentral is "partial 16S ribosomal RNA". It matches the Rfam family "Bacterial small subunit ribosomal RNA", at positions 28 to 523 of the family's 1533-position model. The record is from RNAcentral.